RNAcentral lists this long non-coding RNA (11628 nucleotides) under Equus caballus (horse). RNAcentral describes it as "lncRNA (ENSECAG00000045315.1)". The record is from RNAcentral. Lineage: Eukaryota; Metazoa; Chordata; Mammalia; Perissodactyla; Equidae.
CAAAUGGUACCAGCCUUCCUCAUCCCUCACCAGAUUGGCCUUUGGCCUGUAAACAUCACCGCAUUUCAUUGUGGGGGCGGUUGGCCCAGUGUACUAUGGAGGCCCAGAGAAGUGAUGUCUGCCAGUGGGGUGAGUCCAGGGUGGGACCCUGGAAGACAUGACUGGAUUUUGUGAGCUGAGCCUGGAAGAAUGGGUAUUGGCAAGAUGAUUCUUCACAUUUAUAGAACAUUUCCAAAACAGCAUGAGAAACAAAGCCCACAUGGUUGCCACUGAAGACUGUCGACAGCCUUCACCACUGAGCACACAGCUGCGUGAUGGAGCCACCGAAGCUCCCAGAACCACCCGGAGCAACCGCCCAGGCUCCUGGGAAAUGGCUUAGGCAGAGCCACACCUCUGGGGACCUUCAUUAUCCUGGGAGACCCUCGCCUGCCCCUAUGAUGCCAAGACUGGACCCUGGACUCUCUCCCAGCAUCCCCAGAAGAACCAGAUGCCAACCCCAUUGUGCUGACUGGAAGAUGUGCUCCUCUGCUGUGAUCAAUGCCUGUCAAAGCUCAUCUCUGGGCCUUGAGUGAUGACCAUAGGUCUACCUGGGAGAAUCUGCAUCAGGUGAGAUUCCCAGAUGUCAAGUAUUCUGGAACAUGGAGCAUUGAAUUUCCGUGCUCUCUUGUCCUGGCAGGCAAGUUGCUGACAGCAGGUGGUGGGACUUCUAAGCUUCUAUAAUCACAUGAGCCAAUUCCUCAUAACAGAUCUUUUAUCUAUAUAUAGAGAGAGAGAGAAAGAGAGAGAGAGAGAGAGAAAGAGAGGGAGAGAGAGAGGGGGGGAGGGAGAGGGAGAGAGAGUUAUUAGUUCUGUUUCUCUGGAGAACCAAAACAAAAAACCUUAAGAUACAAUGCAUAAACUGCCUCCUCUCUUUGACACUGGGUGACAGCUUUUUCUGCAGAACCCUCCUGUAGGAUUCCACAGACAUCGUCUCCUUACGCUUUGUCAGUGAGGGUUUUCCACAUUUGGGAACACCUCCUCUCUAACACCCAUGCCACCCUUGACAGGCCCCAGGUGUGGCCAGCGAUGGGUGCGGUCGUAGAGACUUCCAAUUUUUCCUCUAACUAGCACCAAACAGCCCUGCUCUUAACAGCUUUCUUUGGUCUGAGUCAUCUCCUUUUGGAAGAUACAGUCCAUUACUUUUCCUUCUGCAAGCAGCCAGAAUAUGUCUUCUCUCUGCCAAGCUCACACAAACUGAGAUAAUCAUAAUUGCUAAAUGGAUUACCAUAAAUGCCAAUUUUGCAAGAAUAUAAACCCAACAGCAGCUCUUAACCCAACACGCAUUCGAAAAGACAGCAACUUGUUUGGUUGAGCAGAGCAUUACAAUGGUGACAUAUGGGCAAGCAUAGCAUAGAUGUGAAACUCCGAGAAGUUAGCCAGAACCAUGUGGUGUAACCAUGCGAACAGCAACGGUUUUGAAGAACACAAAAGAUGGCAAAAGAAGUCCAUUCAGGAUGGCAAUUUUGGCUUCUUGGUUCAUAGACGAGGGGGAAAUUACCAGGAAGCGUCAAGCUUACCUCACCUCCUGAUCUAAGCAGGUUGCACACUUGCAAACUGUUGUUCUGUGCUACAAUAGAAUGGGUCCUCCUUCCAGAGUGCCCUCCUUGGUGAAUGCAGCCAUUGGUAGUGGCUCUGGGUAUGACAGGGGAAAGAAUUACUGGUUUCCUCUAGCCCCUGGAGUAUCCUACUAAUAUUCCAAUCACAAGAUACAUUUUUUCUUAAUUGCAACUUUCCACUCCGGAACAUGCCAUCAGGGGCAGAGAAAAGGAACAGCUUCAGGUAAGAGUCAUCAACACCAUAGCCGACUGGACAGUUGGACAUCCUCUUGUCAACAAGGGAUGUCCUAGGGCUGGUUUCCAAGGCUGGGACGGAAGUGCAAAUGCUAACAUGGCUACAGAAGUUGAGUGAAUUGUGGAAAAAAGAUGAGUUUGUGUAAAUAUGCAUAGGUUCCUCUUUCUCAUUCCUUAUGUGUAUUGCGUAUAUUGCUUAAGAAUAUGCACAAGAAAUAAGAUAUAAUUAAAGAAUUGGAUGCAAUUGUGCCAUGCCUGGGAUUAGCUUCAAGGUAAGUCUGGGGGUCAUAGGAGGGGAGGGGGUAUGGAUAUAGAUUAAGCAGGAUUGUUCAUGGGUUGGUAAUUAUUCAACGUAAUGGACAUGUGUAGGAUCCAACAUAAUAUUCUCCUUACUUUUGCAGAUGUGUGCAAUCCUCCAGAAAAAUGGAAAAAUUUAAUCUAAUCACAGCAAAGACUUUAGAAGGCAGAGUAUUUAAAAAUUUACUCUUCCCUCAUUGCCUUCACCUGAAAUCUCUUAAUAUAAAUAUAUUGUUAUCAAUCAAAACAAGAUUUUUAAAAAUAAUUUAGUUAUGAGCUUCCUGGCAGCCAAAGGAAAAAGUGAGACAUCUGUUAGAUGAAUAAUGCAUUUCCCAGCAGUUCUCCUUGGGGAGUAAAGCUGUUCCAGUCAUAUCUCUGAGUCAUCAAUACCAAAUGUGUCUUCAAUAAUAUCUCUACAGUGAAGACAGUAAUGCAAUUAGUAAAUGCACUCUGCUAUAAAUAUUUUCACUUUAACAUCCAGUGCAUAAUAACAAAGUGUUGCUGAGUGGUAGCAAUUCAGUGGAGAAUUGCAACAGAAGUGGUCUAAGUACUCAACUUUUGGAUGGUCCAGGGUGCGCUGAAAAUACACCAAUGGUCCUUCAAACCAUCCUCCUCAAAUAUCAUCUCUCUCAGUGGUUGCUUGACCCAAAUGAAUGACAAUUUAAGGUCAUAUCAUCUGGCAAAGGCAUAGAAAACCCACGUUUUCUGUAGCUGAAUAAGGGCAGAUGUAUAAACCCUAAUGACCUACCAGGGGAACCGUGUGAUUGUAAAUUAUAGCCCUAACAUGGGGGCUCAUGGCAGAAUGGGUGCUAAACUUCCCUCAGUAUAGCUAAUAUAUUCCCCUUCAAUGAAAGUUCUUUCUCUCAAUCUCUCUCUUUCUCUCUCAUACACACACACACACACACACACACACACACACACACACAACACAUGACAAGUCUUCAACCUUCUGCACCCUUGGGUAUCGCUUAGAUCAUUUCAGCCAAGGAAAUGUUUCAAAUUCAGUCUUAGAAGUCACUGGCCCCAGCCACAGAAAUAUUUCCAUCACUCUCCCCCCAAAAUUCUGGAUUUGGGUGAUAGAUAGAUAGAUAGAUAGAUAUAGAUAGAUGAAAGAUUGAUAGAUUUGACAGACAAGAGAUAGAUACGAAAGAUAAAUAGAUAGAUGAAAGAUAGAGUUCAUAUACCAAAUCUGUAUUCCAUAAUAUGAAUUUAUCUGUAUACACCCCUACAAGUUGAGCUUCUCAUGUAGAGUAACCCAACAAUUAACUGUUAGCAACAUAUAUUGAGCUACCAUCUCAAUUUGUAUAUUUUAGAGUCAUAUAUCAAAUUUUAAAAACCUAAUCCUGUUAAAAUUCUCAAUUUACUAGAUACUCAGUUAAACAGAACCGACAACCCUCUAGUAAUGAAUGUUUGAAAGGCACCUGCAGCCCCUCUGAAGGAAGACACUUCACUCUGUUCCCCUUGGUCUCUCAUUUGCCCAGAGCACAUGAGCAGGUUCCUCUGGCUUUCUCAUAGAGGGAAACAUAUCUAGGUUGUUAAUCAAUGGAUUCUAGCUUUAUACACCUAAAGGAUCUGGAGAUCCAAUGCGUUUGGGAAAUUAUCGUCAAGGCUGACCUCACUCAACUUUGCCAUCUUGGGCGGAGGCUGGAGUUCGGUACCAGUUUAGCUCAAAUAGAUUUGCCAAAUGGAUGAAAGACUCUGUACUUUAGACAAACCGGGAAGCAGUGCCCUAAACAUGAAGACUGAGUAUUUGUUUCCAGUUUCUGCUGGUGACUCACCUCAACCUGUCCGUCUUUAUAGUCGUCCAGUUCUGAGGCAGGGCCCGGGGAGGGUGGGAGUCGGGAAAGACAAGCUUUGCCUGGGCAAUCAGGAUUCUGGAUUCAGGGGGACUGGAAACGUCAACCUUGUCGCUCUACCCUCAGUUUGCAUUAGAAAAGCUUCAGCUUCUGCCGUGGACCUUCACUCUCCCCUUUCAAGAUUCGAAUAGAUGAAUUUUCAGGCAAGGCUGAGCUCAGACAAAGGCAGCCUGCAAAGACCCUUUCUCCAGAAUCUGGUCACAUUCCCAGAUUCUAGAGAUGGAGAUCUGAUAUCUUUAGAGGAAUAAGUUGUCACAGUUUGAAAGGGUUAUAUUUUUUUAUAAUGACCAGUCCCAUCACUCUCUGGGAAAGAGUGGGAUGGUGGAUGGAUUGCAACCAUCAUUUUAAUGCGGUUUCCCUUCUGGAAGGGAAGUCAGUGGUGUCAGAACUGAAACGGACCCUGGCAAUCUUCGUCUUAGAAUUUAUAGAUAUCUCAGAGAGGUCCCACGAGAGGUUAGAGGGACCAAUCGGGGCCAGACUCCAGGCAGCAUUUUCCCCACUUAUGUUGCCUCUCCAAGAGAAAAUUAAGUUAUCUUUUACAGCAGCCAAUUUCCCUCAAUUAACCUCAGCUCUGGCAAAUCCAUUCUCUUCCAUUUCCUUUCUGCUCUUCUCUCUCCUGCAAGACAGAAUGAGCCUUUACAACAUGUGAAUUGUGACUUUCUGGCCAGCUCAUGUCCUCAGAUGGGCUGCGCCUGGACAGACCUCGAACGUUGAGUCAGGAGUGGACGCUGCUCAAGAGGGAAGGGAGACCUGAACAAGCUGAUGGGUCCAAAGUUUUCAUGUGUCAGAGAAAGUAGGCAAAUAUCAACUCUCUGAGUAAGAAGAGAAUAUUUCAUGGCUAUUGGAACAUGGGGAAAGAGACACCUUUGACAUAACUAGCAUCUCGCAAACUAGAUACUCUACUCUUACUAAAGUAAGAAAUAUGAAUAAACACUAGAAAAUUCCAACAAAACUCAAGGGGAUAAACUCUUUUUUUUUCUUUUUAACUUUUCACAUCUGGAGCUUCCAGUUCUGUCAAUUUAGUGUUUUUUAAAAACAAUGGCUACAUAUUCAGCCUCUCCAUAUGAAAUCAAGAUGCUGCUAUUAAACACUACAUGUUUCUUGUUCAUGGGCUGACAAAAUAGGUUAUAUUAUAGAGGAUGGGACAUUUGAUAUAAAUGGUAUAGAAUCUCUUUUUAUUAACUUUCUCAUAUUUUUUAUGUCUCCAGAUAAUUUUUCCGAUGACAUGGGUCAUUAUUUUUUAAUAAUAAAGAAAGUUUAGCUUACACCCUUAGGUCUCUCAUAAACUCUUCUGGUGUUGAGAAAGAAACUUUCCAUCGUUAAUGGAAAGCACAUGCUGAAGUUUAGAUGACAUCAGUCUGAUUCUUGUAGAAUGAUGGGACGUGGGGAGUUCUGUGCAGUUAAAACAAAAGGAGCCCUACAGCUUACGCAGCACCAUAAUUUACACCAAGGGGAACGAGGAGGAGAAGAUAAAAGACCAUUAAUGAGGAUCUCCUCUCAUCAUAUCAAGGGACAGGAGGCAAUGACUAGUAAGAAUGGAGUCAGCUUAUAGGGAUGGUGUUACGGCUAUGGAAUGUGAGCAGGAUCGCCCACAGCAGGCCAUGUCCAACUGAGACGCAGUGCUGGUAUCAUAUCUUCACGAGAAAUUGCAUCUCCAGAGAGAGCGUCCAGUCCUUCCUCCCAAACAAUGCUCUCCUCACUCUUUCCAGUCUUCCUGUCUGCCCUUUUAUUAGUCAUGUCUUGACCACAGACAUCUCCCAACCAGCCUGACACUCCUGUCCACCCACUCCUUUCUUGGGGUGAGGCAUCUUGCUGACAUUCUCUUUGGCUCUGUCUUCUCCUUUCUUCCACUAAUGUUACAUAAAUACCAGAUGUUGGAUGGUGCUAGACAUUUCUGAAAGGAAAAACAUGGCAGAUGUUCUCAGAUGUUCCUGUCUUCACUGAGAGAUUUUCUCUUGACCUCCUCCUUCCCUGAAGCUACUGUCCAUUCUGUCUUCUUGCUGUCACUCCAGACAUCUUCCCACGUGGACCAUUCGUUUUCUCCCCUUAUUCAGCUCCCAUAGAUUGCUCAGCCCAUCCCAUUGCUGUUCUGAUGCUGCCCUACAGAAACACCACAUGAUCUCAUUUCCAACUCAAGAACUCGUUUUCAAGAGCUCAUCUUGUUUGAGCUGCUCAUCCUUCUUUCUCCCCACAAAUCCUUCCUCCCUGAUCUCCAUAACUUCAUUCUCUUCUCUUCUUCCUACCUCUCCCACUGCCCUCCAGCAAUCAUUAUUUUUUGUAAGUUCUUCUCCUCUACACUCUUCCCAUACUUGUAAGGGUUUAGACUUGGCCAGCUCCUUUUUCUGUAAGUGUCCUCAUCUACUUUCGCCCCUUUGAAUAUCUUCCAGACACAAAGGAGUCCCACCUUUCUCUAGCCCAUCCCUAGUGAUCCUGAGUUACCAUUGAUCCACUGAAUCUCUCCAGUUGGAUGCCCCCGUGUAACUUAAACUCAUUAUGUCUAAGAAUCUAUGUAUUAUCCUCUCCCUCAAUCCCACUCUACUUCUUUUACAUGUCAGAUUUCAAUGGACCCUCCGUCAGUUCGCCCAAAUGAGAAACCACAGCCACACCUUCCGGUUUCCCCUCCCUCUCUCAUGUCCACAUCAGACUUGUCCCAAAGUCCCACCCAUUCCAGCAUCCUUUCUAAUUGGCUUCUUUCUCCUUAGUCUCACUGCUGUUUUCCUGGUUCAAGUCCUCAUCAUCUCCCUGAGGACCAUGGCAGAUGCUGACAACCCCACUCCCAUCCACCCUCUCCUUUGUCCUUUUUGUCAUAGAUGUCCCCAAGUAUCUGUUGACACAUGAUUAGGGUACCUUCUCCAGCCUCCCCUGCAGCUAGUGGUGGCAUGGCUAUUUGCCGCGUCCAAGAGCUAAGUGUGCUCUGCAAUCUCCAUCCUUAAAAUGUUUAUAGACAUUUUUGUGUGUGAACUAAAGAAAUGAGACUCUCCAAAGCCACACGAUGAAUGACAUGGAAUGUAAAUAUAUAUCACUGGUCACCACAAGCCAACACAGGAACUUCUUUUGGAAGUUUAAGAAGGAUGAGAAGAAAUCACUGGAGCCGCCGUGAGUGCAGGAGAAUAAUGCAAAAGAUAUUUGGAGAGAAAGAGAAGGAAAUAGGAUGAUAAAAUAGCAGGGACUACAUGCUGGCUGCUUCCAUGAGGCAGUGUUUUCUGAGGCUAAAGCACACAUGCCAGGAAAUAAAAAUAAAGAAAGAUAUUUUAGCUUAUCUACUUUUCUAAUAUGUAGCUGCUCAUUCACCCUAUUGGAUAUCUGGGCUUUUUUUCCCCACCCCAAAUUUAAAGCUUUAUAAAAUCCUAAACCUCAGUGUUGGAAGCAGCCCUAAAUCCAAGCAACUCUAAUUCUUUAGAGGAGAGUUCUUACCCAGGAUUAGGAACCAGAAUCGCAGGGAGAAUAUUAUCAAAAUUCAUGCACCCAACCCCACCCCAGACACUCUGGUUUAGCAGGUCUAGAGGCGAGGAGACCAUCUUAACUACCUAUUUUGAAAAAAAAAAAAAAUCCCAGAUAUUUCUGAUGCAUACCCUUCAAGAGUCACCAUUGCAGGGCAGAAGGGCGCCUUACAAAUAGUUAAAUUUCCCACUUAAUCAUGCCGAACAAUGAUGUGAAUGAGAAAAUGACACAUUUUGCAAACAACAGCCAAGAGAAAAAGAUCAUUUCCUUCUGUAGAUUCAUUAGCAAGUCGGGACAAUUUAACUCGUCUCCUGGCCAAUUCCUGCAGAAGCUGGAGCUGCGUAUCCUCAGCCGGCUGGAAACAGAUACAAGCCACAGUAUCUGUGGAUGGAUGGAAAUUACCCUGGCUAAUCGGUGGUAUGUAAAACAGGAUGUGAGAAUGUGUGGGUAAGCAGAGGGACGAAGCAUCAGGGGCCCUUGGCUUCUACUGAUCAUGGCACCUGUGGGUGAUUCACACCAAUGCUUGGAUGUUUUGGUGUUGGUAGAAAGCAGAAAAGUGAAAAAGAGAUUUACUACCAUCCAAGGCAGGAGGAAGGCAAGAAGGAGAGUUGCUGAUAAAAUAAAUACUGGAUGAACAACCACAGAGAAUCUGCCAAUGGCCGGGCCGAUGGUGGAAAGCACGAGGCAAGAUGGCUUAGAGCCCCUCCCCAGCCUGCCACUGAGAAGGGCACAAGGCUGGAAGGGUUGGCAGGCAUGGGUGGAAAGGUAUCAAAAACAAGUCAAUCAAAAGCAAACUCACCUCAUCUCUAAUUGGGUUCACCUCCUUUCCCAGCACAAAGCAGAGGCAGCAAGAGCCACUCGGGGCUUAAAUUCUUUCCAGACUUGCUCUUCUGUUGAAAAUGGUUUUACAACCUAAUAGGCAAUGGAGAAAUCCAGUUCAGUUUUUUCUCCUCCUUCUUAUACUCCUUCUCCUAACUUUUAUUCUUUUUUUAAGUAUUUCCUUGGGAGAGGCUGGAGACAUAAGCGUAAUUAGUGUAUUUAUUGAGAAUAGCUCAUUAUGGUGCCCAAAGCAGAAAAACAAAAUUCUCCAGAGAUCAGGGUUUACUCUUCAUGUUGAUGCUGGACAAUGAUGAGCCCAACUUGGGCAGCCUGGGGAAGUUAUUCUUUACAGGAUGCCUCCAUGAUUAUUUCUGAUGAAACACAAUAUCAGUCCAUACAUUGUGACAUCUUCUCCUCCCCUUUAAUUCCUUAAAUGCCACUAAAUCAAGGUAGUGACACAUACCGUGCUUUUAACAUGUAAGAUAAUGAGAGGUUAACAAGCAAAAACGAAAAGGAAGAGAAACAACCUUAAUUUGGAAACUGGACAUUAUAGCUCCUACAGUCCAUGGCCAUGGUCACCCAUGUGGAAAUUUUUAAAAAUUGUAAUAAAUAAUUGAAUAUGUGAGUUGACUACAGAAUAUUCGUUACUUAGAGAGUUAGUGAACCAACAGAUAAAACUGAGAAGAUGCUCCCAGGAUACAGUGUCUGAAAGAAAACUAAAAAGAUAUCCAGAAGAUGAUAAAAUUCCGGGACGAAUCCAGUGAGGGUCCCAUACAGAGAAGAGAAAGAAUGGCAGAGAGGGAGGGCUGAGAUUCAAACAACUAGCAGAUGAAAAUUUCCUCUGAACUGAAGAAACACCUAAAAGGUUAGCUUAAAACCAACCCAGGAGGUUCUAAGCACCCUUAAAUCCCGUAUUUCUCAUCCAUUUGAUCUCUAACUAUGAGCUUGUCAAGAAGGCUAGUAUAACCACAGGCAGCAUUAGCAGAAAGACAGCAUCUCAAUGGAAGGAUGACUUGUCACCUUAUGCUCUGAGCUGACCAGAAUUAGGGGAGCUCUACUUGCAAGUGCAUGAAACGUGUUGAGAUAUUGACAGCUUGGAGCAUGCCAUACUAAGAGUGGCCAUCUUGAUUAUGAAAUCCAAGUUAUGGUCCCUGAAGAAGUUGGGUGGAACUGAAGACCUUUCACCCAAGAAAUAAAUGACUCCAGAACCAGAUAGCAAGGACUUUCUUGCUACAAGGAGGUCCACCUUAAUCUGUGCUGCUCCUCAAGGCUGAGCUAGGACAAAAGGUAGACCUUACAACAUAAUCCAACCAUAAUCCAACCCACAUUAGAGCGCGUCACCAUCAGAACAUCAGCACAUCAGAAUCAUCAAAACAAAGUGGGCUGCCUUCGAGAUACGGGAUUCUGAAAAUUUUCCAACAGAGCGGGUCAACCCUUGCUUUGAUACUUUGAAACUCUGACUAUGUUUGGAGGGUGAGUUGGUAUCAGUUUGGAGGGAACUCUGAGUGACCAGCUAGGGAGCGCUAAGAUAUCUUGUACUUAAUGCAGAACCUUGGACCAGCUCAUACCCUGUCUGAUUUACAACUUAUUUUUAAAUAAUUUCUUUUACCAAAUUGAAUACUGUGCAAUAUUCCAUCCAAUACCUUGAAGGGAACAAAAACAUGCAAAUAUAUUUAGGUAGGCAGGAAAAAAAUUGUACCUUGGAAAGAUAAAUACCAAACCAGCACUUUAUGAGUAAUUCACCUAUUAGACAACUCGGCACAGCACCAAUGAAGUGGGACAGUAGGGAAAUUCUGAGAUAAUGUAAGUACAGUCCAUGCUUGGCUUCCAUGAUGUUGAGUUGCUCUGAAAGAAAGAAGAGGGUUUUGCUGAAAACACCCAGACAAUGACAGUUGCUCUGUGUUUACCAUCUUUGAUUUUGUUUGUUGAUAACAAAAAUGUUUACUUUCUCCAUGUGUCUUGUUAAUGCAGACCUUAGUUCCUAGAAACCUCAGAUCUAUAAAGGAAGAAGAUAGCUGUGGGGCAAUUCACCUGUGAAUUAAAAUCUUUUGCCUUAGCAAGCUUGAACCAGAAGAACUCAACAUACGCCUAUGGGGGGUGUGUUCUGCUCCUUCAGUGGUACUUCCCAUGGUUUGAUUUUGUUCUUACUCAAGUUGUUUGGGACUUGAGAAAGGUCAUCUCAAUUCUCGAAGGUUGGGGGAAAACCAAGUCUUCAUGUUCUCCGUACGUACAACGAGGGUGAAUAUUUCAAGCAUGUAGAUGCUUUUCUGCAAAUCAUCAGUCUUACAGCAUAUCUAGACUGAGAUGACAUUCACCAAAGUGGUGGGGUACCCAAGGUUGACAUUCCCCAAGCCAAUUUGUUAACUGUGCCCCUUUCUCCUGGCUAUUAUAUAGCAACUCACUCAUUGCAUCAUUAAAUAACACAUACCUGUGGUCAUAUAUGCACAUAUACAUAUUCUCUGGUCUGUGCAAGACCCAAACAUAGGCAUGUGGGUAGAGUAUGAUGCAAAGAAAAACGUGUUAUAAACCAUGAGAAGAAGACCAAGCAAACUCCAGAUCUCAGAAUCCCGUCUGCUCCUGGGCAGCCUGCCCUACAGAGAACGAUGUGCAGAUUUUCCUAGGCGAAAGAGUGUUCCAGACAGGCAGGGUUCUCCCACAUUCCAGCACUCUUUCCCUGUUAGGAAUUAACUCCACCUCACUUACACUUUAGCAGAAAAUGGGAUACCAUCAAGCACAUCAGAACUUAGGCUCAUCUUGGGUCUUCAUCGGACCACUACACUAGGGGGAAAAGGUCAGAAUUCAUGAGUGGGAUGGAUUCGUCUUUCUACGGCACGUGAUCCUUUGGAAACAGACAUUUUUAUAGGGAUGUAGAAAUCACAGGCAAAUGACUUCGGAGAGUCUAAACAUAGACCUGGAGGAAAUGUUUCAUUCACCAUUUCUUUUGAUACCUAUCGAGAUAAAGUUUCUUGGUUGUGGAGCAGAAGAUAAGAUGAUACCAGGAAUGAAAGGAAAGAGCACAUGUCAUUCAGAUGUUUUAAAGUACAUUAAGAAAUAGUGUCUAGAAUGAAGGCCGGGUUAAAGACUGGAUUCUGAGGAAAAAUACCCAAUGGUCCUCUCUCUCACCUUUCCUGUGUUCAAGCCCGUGGGGCAUCUUGGUUCUUAGUCUGUGGGCAAGGCUUUGUUGUUUUACAGUUGAAGUCUAAUACAUCUCAAAAUUCAUAUACCCGUGCUCCCCAAAAAAUGGAAUUUGGAGAUGAAAGAAAACAGAAGUAGAAAGUAUUGAGAUCCACGCAUUCGAUAGAGAGUGAAGGACCAAGAAGAACAAUUUGGGCAUGAAAAAGAGAAAGAAGAGAGUGGCAAAUGGCAUUUGCAAAAGGGCAAAUAAG